This 425-nucleotide ribosomal RNA is filed under the name uncultured bacterium. RNAcentral describes it as "partial 16S ribosomal RNA". It matches the Rfam family "Bacterial small subunit ribosomal RNA", at positions 354 to 796 of the family's 1533-position model. The record is from RNAcentral.
GUGAGGAAUUUUGCGCAAUGGGGGCAACCCUGACGCAGCGACGCCGCGUGGAGGACGAAGUCUUUCGGGAUGUAAACUCCUGUCAGUGGGGACGAUAAUGACGGUACCCACAGAGGAAGCACCGGCUAACUCCGUGCCAGCAGCCGCGGUAAGACGGAGGGUGCAAGCGUUGUUCGGAAUUACUGGGCGUAAAGCGUAUGUAGGCGGCAAGUUAAGUUCAAUGUUAAAGCCCACGGCUCAACCGAGGAGAUGCAUUGAAUACUGGCUAGCUAGAGGGUGUUAGAGGAAGACGGAAUUCCCAGUGUAGCGAUGAAAUGCGUAGAUAUUGGGAGGAACAUCGGUAGCGAAAGCGGUCUUCUGGGACAUACCUGACGCUGAGGUACGAAAGCGUGGGGAGCAAACGGGAUUAGAAACCCUUGUAGUCC